GAAGAAUAACGUACCUAUAUGAAAUGACCCUGUCAUAACAUUACAUAAAUCUUAUCUAAUCUCAAAAGUUCGUCGAUGAGUUGUUUACCAGCUUUGACUGAACACGAUUCCCUCGAGCUGGAGAUGAGACGCACCGGGUUCACAGGCACUUGUUGUUAUAUACCUUUCCCACUGGGGCUGCUGCUGGCACGGAAUUUGGAGUCUCUGGUUUCUGGUGUUCCAGUUUAACUGGCGGGCAUGGCUUCUGGCGACAUUCCAGAUGUUGAGGCUGUUUUUCAGAGCCGGUGGCAGAUUCGUCAUUUUCACAAAGCGCCUGUGUGUGAAGUGCGGUGAUCUACUGAAGGUCUUGCUGAAAUAAAAAUCCUACAAAAACC
Pleuronectes platessa (European plaice) is the source of this 374-nucleotide long non-coding RNA. RefSeq lists it as uncharacterized. Lineage: Eukaryota; Metazoa; Chordata; Actinopteri; Pleuronectiformes; Pleuronectidae. The record is from RefSeq and is a predicted model, not a curated record. The transcript is spliced from 2 exons.